Brienomyrus brachyistius is the source of this 1596-nucleotide long non-coding RNA. RefSeq lists it as uncharacterized. The transcript has 2 exons. The record is from RefSeq and is a predicted model, not a curated record. Lineage: Eukaryota; Metazoa; Chordata; Actinopteri; Osteoglossiformes; Mormyridae.
CGUCAAUCCGGCAAGUCUGCUCUCCACCGCUGGGAUGGGAUGUAGGCUGUUUCCUCCCGUCCUUGAGUCCUGUGCACUUUUGACGAUGCUGCUUGUCAAGAAGAACUUUCUGUAGGUUUGUGAUCUGGGGCCAGGGGACUGUGGGGGUGGUUCACUGGGACAGACAAAGCAUCUCCAUAUGCCCGCACCGCUGCCAGCGUGUGUGGACCUUCAUGAGGAAAUAAAGCGGAGGCACCUCCACAGACACAGCCCAAAGCACCAGGAGAAGCGGGAGAAGACCACAACUGAAAGAGGCAGAAGAAGAGGACCACGGGGAAGGCAGACAGCCCUGUCAGCUCAAUCGGACUGACCCUAAGGUACGCUUUCCUCUUCUGUGUCCUACUCUCCUUCUUCUCUUUCAGAAGGUGGGUGGGGACUCGGCGUUUUUACUAGGUGACGUGGGACCAAACGCGGUCCCAGAUCUCUGCGUCCUUCCACUAGGGAAUUUGCCCGCCUGUCCAUCCAGGAAGCCCACUGUCACUAUAAGAGUCUCCCAGCACCAGGAUGGCAAAAGGUAAAGCUGUACUCAGGCAAUCUGCUUAUUAAUAGACUCUGAUUAUUAGGGAUACUAUGGGUUUUCUUCUUGUUUUGUAUCUCUUUGGUUUGAUCAUAUAUUGUAGUCAUGUGACAGUGUCUACGCAUCUGAACGAUAUCCAUUCAGAUCCAGGUUAAUGCUCUUCUAAUCGUUAAUAAUUGAAGGAAUGGAAAACACACUGAGCAUCAUGACAACGACUAAUCCUGGUCAUAUUUAAGAAAAUAAUAGCAGAAGACAAAACGCUCUUGGCAACUCUCUUAAAUGCUCUUCAGGGCCAUGGGGGAUCCAGGGAUUGACUUUGUUUAAAAAAAGCCAAACCAUCCACAGGCAGGCAGGUAUAUUCCCACUGGGGUGGUCUGUAGGGUGUAUCCGUUGGUGAGCCAAAUGAAUGAACGGUGCAGCUAAUUCAACUAAACAUUUGGUUGGUGUCCAUAUUGGAAAAGCUGAUUUUUUUCUAUAGUGUAUCAAACACAUUUUUGGUGAGUCAGAGAUGGGCUGGGCUGUGUGUUUCACACCGUCUGUGUCACUCUGUGAGAUGAGACACAGGAAUGCGGACGACGGCGCCCGUGACCCGUCACUGGCGCCUAACCUCAGAUGGCCUGAGUCUUCACUCCUCAGGGGGGCAGAAGACCCAGUGGUUUGCGUAGCAGUGCAAAGCAGCCACUAGCCUAUUCCUAGAUAAUUUAUUAUGUUAAACAGGUCGUUCCGCUGAAUCUGGACUGUAAAACAUCCGUAGCGUAUGAUACGCAAACUGUGCAUGCGUUUCGGUGCAUCUUCUCGGACCCCCGGACCCUACAGCUACAGCCUGGAGCCCGCGGCCCGCCCCGCCUGCCCAGUGUUCAGACUACCUGUUCAGGAAGUAGCGGUUGUACAGUAGUCUGCACAUUGGUUAGGCUGUGUGGGGGAGCACGCCGCCAAGCCCCUCAAUCUGGCCGCCGGAGUCGCACGUACAUGAGUGUUCAGCUCUCUUAUCUGUCUGAUCUGGAAUGUAAGCAAGAAUGCAAUAAAUGUUCCCAUUUUCA